This 94-nucleotide transfer RNA is filed under the name Anaerococcus hydrogenalis. Its description in RNAcentral is "tRNA-Ser". It matches the Rfam family "tRNA". From Rfam's summary of the family: Transfer RNA (tRNA) molecules are approximately 80 nucleotides in length. Their secondary structure includes four short double-helical elements and three loops (D, anti-codon, and T loops). RNAcentral also lists the same sequence under 26 other names. The record is from RNAcentral. Lineage: Bacteria; Bacillati; Bacillota; Tissierellia; Tissierellales; Peptoniphilaceae.
GGAGAAGUACUCAAGUGGCUGAAGAGGCUCCCCUGCUAAGGGAGUAGAUCCUUUCAAAAGGGAUGCGAGGGUUCAAAUCCCUCCUUCUCCGCCA